GGGGAUAUAGCUCAGUUGGUAGAGUGCUUGGCUUGUGUGUACAAGGCACUGGGUUCCAUCCCCAUACCACCA
This is a non-coding RNA of Ictidomys tridecemlineatus (thirteen-lined ground squirrel), 72 nucleotides long. The record is from Rfam. Lineage: Eukaryota; Metazoa; Chordata; Mammalia; Rodentia; Sciuridae.